AGAGCGAACGCUGGCGGCAGGCCUAACACAUGCAAGUCGAGCGCCCCGCAAGGGGAGCGGCAGACGGGAGAGUAACACGUGGGAACGUACCCUUUGGUUCGGAACAACACAGGGAAACUUGUGCUAAUACCGGAUAAGCCCUUACGGGGAAAGAUUUAUUGCCAAAGGAUCGGCCCGCGUCUGAUUAGCUUGUUGGUGAGGUAACGGCUCACCAAGGCUACGAUCAGUAGCUGGUCUGAGAGGAUGAUCAGCCUCACUGGGACUGAGACACGGCCCAGACUCCUACGGGAGGCAGCAGUGGGGAAUAUGGACAAUGGCGCAAGCCUGAUCCAGCCAUGCCGCGUGGAUGAUGAAGGCCCUAGGGUUGUAAAAGUCCUUUCGACGGGGAAGGAUAAUGACGGUACCCGUAGAAAGAAGCCCCGGCUAACUUCGUGCCAGCAGCGC
RNAcentral lists this ribosomal RNA (444 nucleotides) under uncultured bacterium. Its description in RNAcentral is "SSU rRNA". It matches the Rfam family "Bacterial small subunit ribosomal RNA", at positions 26 to 518 of the family's 1533-position model. The record is from RNAcentral.